This is a long non-coding RNA of Danio aesculapii, 256 nucleotides long. RefSeq lists it as uncharacterized. NCBI's taxonomy places the organism in Eukaryota, Metazoa, Chordata, Actinopteri, Cypriniformes, Danionidae. The transcript has 3 exons. The record is from RefSeq and is a predicted model, not a curated record.
AUCAGAUUCAGAGAUGUUCAGCUCUGUGUCUGUGAAGAGCAACUGUUCAAGAGAUGAACCACCUGAAUUCAGUGAGGAGAAAACAGCAUCUAAUAAAAGUGUGAGAUCAGGUUCACAGGUGUUCAGCUUUGUGUCUGUGAAGAGUGACUGUUCAAGAGAUGAACCACCAGAAUUCAGUGAGGAAAAUAUAUUGUCUAAUAAAAGGCUGCAAUAUGAGACUGUAAAUUCAGAUUCCCAGACACAUGUUAAUAACAGC